AUGGUGGAGCGUGAUGAAUCUGAUUUGCCAUUGGUCCUGAGUGACGUCAUCCACAAGGCGGUCAUCGAGGUAAAUGAAGAGGGCACCAUAGCGGCUGCCGUCUCCAUGAGGGUCGCAUAUUGGGCGUCGCCGCCUCCUCCUGUGGAUUUUGUAGCCGACCAUCCGUUUGCGUACUUCAUAGUGGAGGAGGCGACCGACGCGGUUGUCUUUGCGGGGCACGUUCUUGACCCGUCUAACGAGGACUAG
This 246-nucleotide ribosomal RNA is filed under the name Triticum aestivum (bread wheat). RNAcentral's name for it is "partial small subunit ribosomal RNA". Lineage: Eukaryota; Viridiplantae; Streptophyta; Magnoliopsida; Poales; Poaceae. The record is from RNAcentral.